This 511-nucleotide ribosomal RNA is filed under the name Pycnonotus jocosus (red-whiskered bulbul). RNAcentral's name for it is "partial 16S ribosomal RNA". It matches the Rfam family "Bacterial large subunit ribosomal RNA", at positions 1854 to 2569 of the family's 2925-position model. The record is from RNAcentral. Lineage: Eukaryota; Metazoa; Chordata; Aves; Passeriformes; Pycnonotidae.
GAUGCCUGCCCGGUGACCAAACGUUUAACGGCCGCGGUAUCCUAACCGUGCAAAGGUAGCGCAAUCAAUUGUCCCGUAAAUCGGGACCAGUAUGAAUGGCUAAACGAGGUCUUAACUGUCUCUUACAGGCAAUCAGUGAAAUUGAUCUCCCUGUGCAAAAGCAGGGAUAACUACAUAAGACGAGAAGACCCUGUGGAACUUCAAAAACAGCAACCACCCCAACAUACAUACACACCCACUCCGGGUUCACUUAACCUCACGGGCGACUGGUCUGCAUUUUUUCGGUUGGGGCGACCUUGGAGCAAAACAAAACCUCCAAACAUUAGACCAUCCCUCUAGACUAAGAGCAACUCCUCAAUGUGCUAAUAGUAACCAGACCCAAUAUAAUUGAUCGAUGGACCAAGCUACCCCAGGGAUAACAGCGCAAUCUCCUCCAAGAGUCCAUAUCGACGGGGAGGUUUACGACCUCGAUGUUGGAUCAGGACAUCCUAGUGGUGCAGCAGCUACUAAG